UACGUAGGGGGCAAGCGUUGUCCGGAUUUAUUGGGCGUAAAGAGCGUGUAGGCGGCCAGGCAGGUCCGCUGUGAAAACUCGAGGCUCAACCUCGAGAGGUCGGUGGAAACCGUCUGGCUAGAGUCCGGAAGAGGAGAGUGGAAUUCCCGGUGUAGCGGUGAAAUGCGCAGAUAUCGGGAAGAACACCCGUGGCGAAGGCGGCUCUCUGGGACGGUACUGACGCUGAGGAGCGAAAGCGUGGGGAGCGAACAGG
RNAcentral lists this ribosomal RNA (253 nucleotides) under uncultured bacterium. RNAcentral's name for it is "partial 16S ribosomal RNA". It matches the Rfam family "Bacterial small subunit ribosomal RNA", at positions 524 to 776 of the family's 1533-position model. The record is from RNAcentral.